GUCUACAGCCACGCCACCCUGAACAAGCCAAAUUCUGUCUGAUCUCGGAAGCUAAGCAGGGUCGGGCCUGGUUAGGACUUGGAUAGAAGACCACCUAGGAAGACCAGGUGCUACAGAUG
Molecule: ribosomal RNA, 119 nt
Filed under: Pteropus alecto (black flying fox)
Lineage: Eukaryota; Metazoa; Chordata; Mammalia; Chiroptera; Pteropodidae
Source: RNAcentral